RNAcentral lists this transfer RNA (43 nucleotides) under Demodex folliculorum. Its description in RNAcentral is "tRNA-Ala". The record is from RNAcentral. Lineage: Eukaryota; Metazoa; Arthropoda; Arachnida; Trombidiformes; Demodicidae.
AAGAUGUAAAAGUUAAUUUGCAAUUAACGAACAAGGUACAUCA